CCAGCUGAACAAGGUCAGACUUAUGCAUCAGAAGUUAAUGCCAUAUUUGGAGAGACUAGUGCCCUCACUGCUAGGAAUGUUGAGGAAAUGUUCAUUGAAAUAACUCGUAAGUUACCACCAGAUUGUUUAACUAGUUUACCAGCUGGUGCCUCUCUCUUAAGACAGACUGAUACACCACGUGCUAAGGGAGGAUGCUGUGUAGGAGGGGGAGGGGACAAAGGACCAUCAUAAUAGUUAAAGUGUCAAUAAAGAUGAAAUGUCAAGUGGUGCGAUACUAAAGAAGCAAGAAAUUUUUGAAGACACAAACAAUAACACUUCCUCUUAUUUUACUCUUUAGACACUCAUUUAUUA
This is a long non-coding RNA of Amphimedon queenslandica, 351 nucleotides long. RefSeq lists it as uncharacterized. The transcript has 3 exons. The record is from RefSeq and is a predicted model, not a curated record. NCBI's taxonomy places the organism in Eukaryota, Metazoa, Porifera, Demospongiae, Haplosclerida, Niphatidae.